GAUGAACGCUGGCGGCGUGCCUAAUACAUGCAAGUCGAGCGAACGGACGAGAAGCUUGCUUCUCUGAUGUUAGCGGCGGACGGGUGAGUAACACGUGGAUAACCUACCUAUAAGACUGGGAUAACUUCGGGAAACCGUAGCUAAUACCGGAUAAUAUUUUGAACCGCAUGGUUCAAAAGUGAAAGACGGUCUUGCUGUCACUUAUAGAUGGAUCCGCGCUGCAUUAGCUAGUUGGUAAGGUAACGGCUUACCAAGGCAACGAUGCAUAGCCGACCUGAGAGGGUGAUCCGCCCCACUGGAACUGAGACACGGUCCAGACUCCUACGGGAGGCAGCCGUAGGGAAUCUUCCGGAAUUGGCGAAAGCCUGACGGAGCAACGCCGCGUGAGUGAUGAAGGUCUUCGGAUCGUAAAACUCUGUUAUUAGGGAAGAACAUAUGUGUAAGUAACUGUGCACAUCUUGACGGUACCUAAUCAGAAAGCCACGGCUAACUACGUG
RNAcentral lists this ribosomal RNA (497 nucleotides) under uncultured bacterium. RNAcentral describes it as "partial 16S ribosomal RNA". It matches the Rfam family "Bacterial small subunit ribosomal RNA", at positions 28 to 507 of the family's 1533-position model. The record is from RNAcentral.